This 1439-nucleotide ribosomal RNA is filed under the name metagenome. RNAcentral describes it as "bacterial SSU rRNA". It matches the Rfam family "Archaeal small subunit ribosomal RNA". The record is from RNAcentral.
UCCCGUUGAUCCUGCGGGAGAGUGCUGCUAUUGGGUUCCUAAUUAGCCAUGCAAGUUCAGGGGAUUCUUCGGAAUCACCGGCAAAAGGCUCAGUAACACGUCGAUAAUCUGCCUUAUGGUCUUGGAUAGCCUUGAGAAAUUGAGGGUAAACCAGGAUAGAGGAUUGAGGCUGGAAUGCGCUUUCCUCCAAAAGCAAUGCCAUAAGAUGAGUCGGCGGCUGAUUAGGUUGUUGGUGAGGUAAAGGCUCACCAAGCCACAGAUCAGUAGGGGAGAUGAGAGUCUUAGCCCCGAGAAGGGCACUGAGACAAGGGCCCUAGCUCUAAGGAGUGCAGCAGGCAAGUAUUCUUUACAAUGCGCGAAAGCGUGAUAAGGGGAACCCAAGUGCUUACUAUUUAUAGUGGGCUUUUGCCAAGUGUAAAUAGCUUGGAGAAUAAGUGGUGGGAAAGACCGGUGCCAGCCGCCGCGGUAACCCCGGCGCCACCAGUGGCACUCGCGAUUAUUGGGCCUAAAGCAUUCGUAGCCGACAGAAUAAGUUUUUUGUGAAAUUGUUAAAAUAAACUUAACAACGUGCAGAAAAUACUAUUUUGUUAGAAACCGGGAGAAGGUAAAGGUAUUCCUUGGGUAGCGGUAAAAUGUUAUAAUCCUUGGAAGACCACCAAUGGCGAAGGCAUUUACCUAGAACGGAUUUGACGGUGAGGGAUGAAAGCUAUGGUAGCGAACCGGAUUAGAUACCCGAGUAGUCAUAGCUGUAAACGCUGCGAACUAAGUGUUGCAUAUUCUCCGUGAAUAUGCAGUGCUGGAGUGAAGAUGUUAAGUUCGCCGCCUGGGAAGUACGAUCGCAAGAUUGAAACUUAAAGGAAUUGGCGGGGGCACACUACAAGCAGUGGAAUGUGCGGUUCAAUUUGAUUCCACACAGAGCAUCUCACCAGAAGCGACGGCAGGAUGAAGGUUCAGAUUAAAGGUCUUACCUGACAAGCCGAGAGAUGGUGCAUGGCCGACGUCAGUUCGUGCCGUAAGGUGUGCUGUUAAGUCAGUUAACGAACAAGACCUACAUCUACUGUUGCUACCGAAUCUAUCAGAUGAUCGAGCACACUGUAGAGACUGCCCGUGUAAAUGGGAGGAAGGUGUAGGCAACGUUAGGUCUGUAUGCCUCGGAUCUUCUGGGCUACACGCGCAUUAUAAUGCCAAGGACAAUGGGAUACAACUCUGAAAAGAGAAGUCAAGCCUCGAAACCUUGGCCCAGUUCGGAUUGAGGGCUGUAACCCGCCCUCAUGAAGCCAGAAUUGCUAGUAAUCGGAUUUCAACAUGGUCCGGUGAAUAAGUCAAUGUGCCUUGCACACACCGCCCGUCAAGCCUACCGAGCAGGGUUUGUGUGAGAACUAAUUUCUUGAUUAGUUCGAACCUAAGUUCAGUAAGGUGGGCUAAGUCGUCACAAGGUA